RNAcentral lists this non-coding RNA (45 nucleotides) under Schistosoma haematobium. The record is from RNAcentral. Lineage: Eukaryota; Metazoa; Platyhelminthes; Trematoda; Strigeidida; Schistosomatidae.
AUCCAGCUGAUGAGUUCAAAAUAGAGUGAAACGCGCGUCCUAGAU